RNAcentral lists this unclassified non-coding RNA (341 nucleotides) under soil metagenome. RNAcentral describes it as "partial contains 5.8S ribosomal RNA, internal transcribed spacer 2, and large subunit ribosomal RNA". The stretch from base 1 to 119 matches the Rfam family "5.8S ribosomal RNA", at positions 35 to 154 of the family's 154-position model. The record is from RNAcentral.
GAUGAAGAACGUAGCGAAAUGCGAUACGUAAUGUGAAUUGCAAAUUCAGUGAAUCAUCGAGUCUUUGAACGCACAUUGCGCCCCCUGGUAUUCCGGGGGGCAUGCCUGUCCGAGCGUCAUUGCUGCCCUCAAGCACGGCUUGUGUGUUGGGCCCCGUCCUCCGAUCCCGGGGGACGGGCCCGAAAGGCAGCGGCGGCACCGCGUCCGGUCCUCGAGCGUAUGGGGCUUUGUCACCCGCUCUGUAGGCCCGGCCGGCGCUUGCCGAUCAACCAAAAUUUUUAUCCAGGUUGACCUCGGAUCAGGUAGGGAUACCCGCUGAACUUAAGCAUAUCAAUGGAGGA